RNAcentral lists this ribosomal RNA (1040 nucleotides) under Billgrantia lactosivorans. RNAcentral's name for it is "bacterial SSU rRNA". It matches the Rfam family "Bacterial small subunit ribosomal RNA", at positions 342 to 1374 of the family's 1533-position model. Lineage: Bacteria; Pseudomonadati; Pseudomonadota; Gammaproteobacteria; Oceanospirillales; Halomonadaceae. The record is from RNAcentral.
CGGGAGGCAGCAGUGGGGAAUAUUGGUCAAUGGGCGCAAGCCUGAUCCAGCCAUGCCGCGUGUGUGAAGAAGGCCCUCGGGUUGUAAAGCACUUUCAGUGGGGAAGAAAGCCUGGUGGUUAAUACCCGUCAGGAAGGACAUCACCCACAGAAGAAGCACCGGCUAACUCCGUGCCAGCAGCCGCGGUAAUACGGAGGGUGCGAGCGUUAAUCGGAAUUACUGGGCGUAAAGCGCGCGUAGGUGGCUUGAUAAGCCGGUUGUGAAAGCCCCGGGCUCAACCUGGGAACGGCAUCCGGAACUGUCAGGCUAGAGUGCAGGAGAGGAAGGUAGAAUUCCCGGUGUAGCGGUGAAAUGCGUAGAGAUCGGGAGGAAUACCAGUGGCGAAGGCGGCCUUCUGGACUGACACUGACACUGAGGUGCGAAAGCGUGGGUAGCAAACAGGAUUAGAUACCCUGGUAGUCCACGCCGUAAACGAUGUCGACUAGCCGUUGGGUCCUUCGCGGACUUUGUGGCGCAGUUAACGCGAUAAGUCGACCGCCUGGGGAGUACGGCCGCAAGGUUAAAACUCAAAUGAAUUGACGGGGGCCCGCACAAGCGGUGGAGCAUGUGGUUUAAUUCGAUGCAACGCGAAGAACCUUACCUACCCUUGACAUCCUGCGAACCCUUCGGAGACGAAGGGGUGCCUUCGGGAACGCAGAGACAGGUGCUGCAUGGCUGUCGUCAGCUCGUGUUGUGAAAUGUUGGGUUAAGUCCCGUAACGAGCGCAACCCUUGUCCUUAUUUGCCAGCGAGUAAAGUCGGGAACUCUAAGGAGACUGCCGGUGACAAACCGGAGGAAGGUGGGGACGACGUCAAGUCAUCAUGGCCCUUACGGGUAGGGCUACACACGUGCUACAAUGGUCAGUACAAAGGGUUGCGAACUUGCGAGAGUGAGCCAAUCCCAGAAAGCUGAUCUCAGUCCGGGAUCGGAGUCUGCAACUCGACUCCGUGAAGUCGGAAUCGCUAGUAAUCGUGAAUCAGAUGUCACGGUGAAUACGUUCC